GACGUAGGGUGCUAGCGUUGUUCGGAAUUACUGGGCGUAAAGGGCGCGUAGGCGGCUACGGCAGUCGGGUGUGAAAGCCCGGGGCUCAACCCCGGAACGGCAUCCGAUACUCUGUGGCUAGAGACCGGAAGAGGUGGGUGGAAUACCCAGUGUAGAGGUGAAAUUCGUAGAUAUUGGGUGGAACACCGGUGGCGAAGGCGGGUCUCUGGGCCGAUACUGACGCUGAGGAGCGAAAGCGUGGGGAGCGAACAGG
Molecule: ribosomal RNA, 253 nt
Filed under: uncultured bacterium
Lineage: Bacteria
Description: partial 16S ribosomal RNA
Rfam family: Bacterial small subunit ribosomal RNA
Source: RNAcentral